RNAcentral lists this non-coding RNA (83 nucleotides) under Vibrio spartinae. Lineage: Bacteria; Pseudomonadati; Pseudomonadota; Gammaproteobacteria; Vibrionales; Vibrionaceae. The record is from RNAcentral.
AAUUAUGGUGGACUGGAUAGGGGCGCUUUGGCGCACCGUUUCUUGUGAGCGGCUGUCUCAAACCUGUCCGGUUCGCCACUCAA